This 282-nucleotide ribosomal RNA is filed under the name uncultured cyanobacterium. RNAcentral describes it as "partial 16S ribosomal RNA". It matches the Rfam family "Bacterial small subunit ribosomal RNA", at positions 1253 to 1533 of the family's 1533-position model. The record is from RNAcentral. Lineage: Bacteria; Bacillati; Cyanobacteriota.
CGAAAUGCUUGACUAGCAAUCCCAUAAACCGUGGCUCAGUUCAGAUCGUAGGCUGCAACUCGCCUACGUGAAGUAGGAAUCGCUAGUAAUCGCAGGUCAGCAUACUGCGGUGAAUACGUUCCCGGGCCUUGUACACACCGCCCGUCACACCAUGGAAGUUGGCCAUGCCCGAAGUCGUUACUCCAACCCUUGUGGAGGAGGACGCCGAAGGUGGGGCUAAUGACUGGGGUGAAGUCGUAACAAGGUAGCCGUACCGGAAGGUGCGGCUGGAUCACCUCCUAA